This 253-nucleotide ribosomal RNA is filed under the name uncultured bacterium. Its description in RNAcentral is "partial 16S ribosomal RNA". It matches the Rfam family "Bacterial small subunit ribosomal RNA", at positions 524 to 776 of the family's 1533-position model. The record is from RNAcentral.
UACGGAGGGGGCUAGCGUUAAUCGGAAUUACUGGGCGUAAAGCGUGCGUAGACGGUCACGUAAGUCGGGUGUGAAAGCCCCGGGCUCAACCUGGGAAUUGCAUUCGAGACUGCAUGGCUAGGGUGCGGAAGAGGGGAGCGGAAUUUCCGGUGCAGCGGUGAAAUGCGUAGAUAUCGGAAGGAACACCAGUGGCGAAAGCGGCUUCCUGGUCCAGCACCGACGUUCAGGCACGAAAGCGUGGGGAGCAAACAGG